RNAcentral lists this long non-coding RNA (1924 nucleotides) under Homo sapiens (human). RNAcentral's name for it is "non-protein coding lnc-GABARAPL2-7:1". Lineage: Eukaryota; Metazoa; Chordata; Mammalia; Primates; Hominidae. The record is from RNAcentral.
GUUUAAAUAGUGUUUAUUUCCAAGGUAAUUCAAUUCAAUCAAUAAUUUGAAUUGGUUUCAGAUCUUUUCCUUCAGGUAAUGAGAAAACACUGUGUUAUGGGCACACAUUUUUAAUGUUCAGAAACAAUUGGCCUUUCCAUAAGGAAAUUACAUGGAUUGGGAUUUCUUUCAAACUAAUUUAGUUGUGUUGACCAUUAUUAAACUUAAGUGACAUUCAUUUGGAUUAAGUAGUAAUUUUAAAAUGUGAGGCUUUCUAGUGAUUUUUUUUAUUGAGACAGAGUCUCAUUCUGUUGCCCAGGAUGGAGUGCAGUGUCUCAAUCUUGGCUCAUUGCAACCUCUGCCUCCUGGGUUUGAGCAAUUCUCAUGCACUGGCCUCCCAAGUAGCUGGAAUCACAGGCACUUGCCACCACACCUGGCUAAUUUUUGUGUUUUUAGCAGAGACGGGGUUGCACCAUGUUGGCCGGGCUGGUCUCAAACUUCUAACUUCAAGUGAUCCGCCCACCUCAGCCUCCCAAAGUGCUGGGAUUACAGAUGUGAGCCACCACCUCCAGCCAUUUUCUAGUUAUUUUUAAUCCUAGGCCAUUUAUCUAUCACUGAUGAGCCUUCAUGUAUGUACUUUAAAACAAAAUAUAUACAAAUCUUGCACUGGUUUGAAGAUUUUAGUAAUGAAAAGUUACCCAAUCGGUUGUCAGUAUGUUAUCUAGAAACCAAUCUUAGAAAUGUGUGAUGACGUUUUUUCAAAAUAGCUGAAAAGAAAUUAUUCUGUGCCUGCUUUUACUUUGUCCUUGUUUUGUCCUAUAAUAUUAAGUGAAGGGAGAUUAUUUAGCCUCAUAUUGAAUUUCCAAAACUGAUAUUUGUGUUUGCCAUUUUUUAAUGAUGGAGAGAAAAGUUCGUUAUCUUACUUUGAUAAGUUUGACAUAGGAUCUAUCACUUUUUGAAGCUUUUGGUGACAGUUGUCACUAGAAUGCUAGCAAUUAGAUAUAUGCAAUGAAUAACUUGGUUACAUUAAUAAAAUGUCUUGAAGUGCUGCAGACAGUAACUCUUGGACACCAAAUCACAGUGUUUUCAUUUGUGACAUGUUAGAGAGAAUGACAGUACUUUCUGUGGUAUAAAUAUCCCAUUACCUAAUGCUAGUUCUGUUAAGUUUCAGGGCUUUGACUCCUGAGUCUGAAAAAGCCACCACCCUCUGCUAAAUCUUAAGCAUUAAGACCAGUUGAAGUCUCAUCUUCAGACUCAGUAGAAGAUGACAAUCAAAAUGAACUGUUUUCAUGAGACAUGGGUCCAGGAAUAAAAACCACUCAAUCCCUCUAGGCCCAGGGACUAUCAAAGUAGAGGUGGUUGCCUGAGACUGUAAGGGCUGAUUUUGAGGGAGAAGAUUAGUUCAGUUUUUCUUUUUGUUUGUUUGAGACAAGGUCUCCCUCUGUCACCCAGUGCAGUGGCGCCAUCACGGCUUACCACAACCUCUGCCUCCCAGGCUCAAGCAAUCUUCUCACCUCCACAUCCUGAAUAGCUGAGACCACAGAUGCACACCACCAUACCUGCCUUGGCCUCCCAGGGUGCUGGGAUUACAGGUGUGAGCCACCACACUGAGCCUGGAGUUUCUCUAUAAAUCAGACAUUAAUAUCAAAAGCACACUGAUGCAUGGCCAGCUUUCAGAAGACCUGUCUUCAGCCAGGUGUGGUGGCUCACACCUGUAAUCCCAGCAUUUUGGGAGGCUGAGGUGGGUUGAUUCCUUGAGCUCAGGAGUUCGAGACCGGCCUGGGCAGCAUGGCGAAAACCUGUUUCUACCAAAAAUACAAAAAUUAGCUCAGUGUGAUGGCACAUGUGCCAGUAGUCCCAGCUACUCAGGAGACUGGGGUGGGAUGAUCACUUGAGCCUGGGAGGUUGAGGCUGAGAUGGGAGAAUUGCUUGAGCCCAGGAGGUU